GCUCAGAUUGAACGCUGGCGGCAGGCCUAACACAUGCAAGUCGAGCGGUAGCACAAGAGAGCUUGCUCUCUGGGUGACGAGCGGCGGACGGGUGAGUAAUGUCUGGGAAACUGCCUGAUGGCGGGGGAUAACUAGUGGAAACGGUAGCUAAUACCGCAUAACGUCGCAAGACCAAAGUGGGGGCCCUUCGGGCCUCACGCCAUCAGAUGUGCCCAGGUGGGAUUAGCUGGUAGGUGAGGUAACGGCUCACCUAGGCGACGAUCCCUAGCUGGUCUGAGAGGAUGACCAGCCACACUGGAACUGAGACACGGUCCAGACUCCUACGGGAGGCAGCAGUGGGGAAUAUUGCACAAUGGGCGCAAGCCUGAUGCAGCCAUGCCGCGUGUGUGAAGAAGGCCUUCGGGUUGUAAAGCACUUUCAGCGAGGAGGAAGGGUAAUGUGU
This 442-nucleotide ribosomal RNA is filed under the name Serratia symbiotica. Its description in RNAcentral is "bacterial SSU rRNA". It matches the Rfam family "Bacterial small subunit ribosomal RNA", at positions 22 to 460 of the family's 1533-position model. The record is from RNAcentral. Lineage: Bacteria; Pseudomonadati; Pseudomonadota; Gammaproteobacteria; Enterobacterales; Yersiniaceae.